Molecule: small RNA, 183 nt
Filed under: Staphylococcus aureus
Lineage: Bacteria; Bacillati; Bacillota; Bacilli; Caryophanales; Staphylococcaceae
Description: HMPRFS0000_1368
Source: RNAcentral
UUCAUUUGGAUACCCUACAAUAAUAUCUGUAGUUAAUGCUACAUUAGGAAUUCUAUCUUUGAUUCGUUUUACUAAAUCCAAAUAACUUUCUCGUGUAUAUUUUCUACCCAUUAUUUUUAAUACUGCAUUAUUUCCAGAUUGAACUGGCAAGUGGAUAUGCGGAACGAUAUUACCACCCUCUGA